GGCCCCUGCGACUCCUGGUGCCCGGCUGGGACACGUGGGGCCGGCUUUGCGGAGUCAGCAGGGCCAAGGUGCGCGGGGUGCGCUCCCCCCCGGAACCCCGCCCCUUCUCACCCCAUCUCGCUUUUUUGGGAGAGGAGAGUGGAGCCGUCAGCACCCACUGGCAGUGUCGGUGCUGUGCUGGGAGUCCUCCCAGACCAGCCCACUCCUCCUGGUUUGAGCUUCCGAUCCAUCCCUACUCCUUUACGGUUCUUCUUCCCCGUAGUUAACCUGCGGAGAGGAGGAGGUACUGUCUCCGCACAAGGUACUGCGGAGGUACCUUGCGGAGGAACCUUGCGGAGGAGGUACUGCGGUGGGGAGGCAGGGGGGAGGCGCAUCUGCCUCCGCACAAGGGGUCUAAUGGCUUGCUUAUUCCUUCUAGGCCAGGUUGAAAGGUUUUUAAAAGCAGGUGGGGGUGCCAGGAUAGUGAGAAAAACAAGAAAAGACACUGCUUUUUACCCCAUGCGGGGCAGAGCUGGUCUCCUUUCUGCAGGUGUUGAGGGGAGUUGAGUAGGAGCCCAGAGCUGGUACAGGCCCCGUUUAACGUGCCCCCGCAGAGUGAGGGCUGGGGGUCACCCCAUAGGCAGGGGAGCCCUUCUGGGAGGGAAUUCCUGCUUAGGUGGGAGGUUGACCUGAAUGACAUCUAGGUCCUCUACCUCCCAGAUGCCGAAUUUUCAGGGAAGGAACCAAAUGGAUGUAUGGCCCAUGCCUGGGUUUGAAUCCCAGUUCUGGCCUUCAUUCCUCCAGGCCUCCAUUUCCUUGUCUGCACUAUGGGGCCAUGGUGAGAACUCUGAAAUAACACCAACUGCCUGGUGCUUGGUAGGUGCCACAUUACAAAAGCGGUGGGAAGGAGGCCCUUUGGUUUCCAUGUCGGUGGUCAUGUCCCACAGUCCCCGUUGCCAUCCUGAUUAUGGAAAACUUCAUUUCAUGCUCCAAAUGUUCCUCAAUUCCUGGCACUGUUCUAGGUCCUGCACCCAGGCUGGUAUGAAAAAGGUGCCGAGAAGGUCCCAUGCAUCACCAGCCUGGAGGUAGCAGCAGAAGGGAAACCAGUGCCUCUGAGAGUGGGCAACUGUGCCCCAUCCACCUCCUCUUCUUCUUGGAGAUCUCAAGAUAAGACAAGAGACAUCAACCUGGGAUUGGGUUUCUGGGCAGAGAGUAAAAGUGAGCUCCUUCUGCCUGUGCACGCAGCUUCCCUCGGUACUGGGAUAGCCGAGAUCCCUUACUAGAAGCAGCUCACAAAACCUCCCCCAGUUACUGGGAUAGCCCAGACACCUUCCUAGGGCAGCAGCGGAAGAAAGAAGGGGACAAAAUACCAACGACCAGAAAGAAGAAAGAACUUAGCCUCAGUCACCAGCCACUGGGAGCUGAUAGUAACUGAAGGGAUGGAAAGCCCUCUGGGACAGUUUUAGUGGGAGCCCUCCAGAGCCUGGAGAGACUGCAGGUGGAGCAGGAAGGUGGGGAAGAAUUAGAGCAGUGACCCCGGCCACUUUUGGCCUCACGGUUCUGCACAAUGAGACAUUGCUCAUCUUCAGAGAACCGUGCCAUUCUGGCCAUCUGGCAUCCUAGACAAUUUUCCACUGUCUCUCAGUAUCCAGCCAUCCAGCCAUCUAGCCUCCUAACUACUUCUCUGUGCUGGUCCAGCCCAGUGCUCAGAGUUAGGAUAUUUUUAUGAAUAAAACAGACCUAGCUUCUGCCCUCGUGGAGCUUACAGCGUGGGGCGAAAGGAGACUGAUCAAAAUGCCACACACAUGUAAUUUACAACCUUGGGAAGUGCCAAGAAGGGGAAGUGUUGGGUGCCACUGAGAACAUUCACAGAGGUUAACCUGGGGCUGAGGUGGAGGAAAGGUCAGAUGGAAGCUGUCUAACCACCCUGGGCUUCUGGCUUAGGAUGUGUAGGGCUAGCAGCUCAGCCCAUGAGGUUGUGUCUUGAACUUGGGUAUUGAUGGAAUAGCUAUAGAAACAGAACAACCAUGAAGUGAAGAUGGUGAAUGAAGAUCCUCUCAUCAGCUUGCGAUUGCAUGACAGAGGAGGCUGCAAGGACACUCAGGUGUGAAGACGGGUGAGUUGCCAGUUCUGGAGUGCAGAUGUGGUUACCAGCAGCCUCUGUUUUGGAGGCUACUCUGAAGCCAUAUUCAGCUUGGGAGGCCUCCUGCAGGGUUGACCCAGUUCUGGAACAAACCAAGGUGUUUGGGUCUGAACCAGGGCCUGAGCAGAUCCCAUCCCAUAUCCAGCUGAACUGUCUCACCCAGUCUGCAUUGAGUAUCGGUCCCAAGUGGAGGCCACAGGAAGAAGUGCUGUUCCCUAGUGGUCUUAGAUGCUUCAUCAGCUAAAGCGUGGGGCUCAGUCUCCUGGUGUCCACCUGUAAAAUGAAAGUGGUGUCCCAGAGUCUCUCCAAAGCUCCUUGUGGUGACUCUAUGGUCCUAAGAAACCGUUCACUUUAUAGGCCUAUCUCAGUGCACAGCUGAUGCCUCUGAUGCAGGGGUGGCUGUGGCUGUGCUGCCGCUCCUAUGGGGGAGGCAUCCUGGCCAGCACGCUCUUUGCACCUGAUGACUCCCUACGGCAGCUGCACAGCACUGCAGUUAGAAGCCCAGGCCACGUGGAUUUCAGCCCCGGCCCUACCACUCAGUAGCUGUGUGACCCUGGGCCAGGUGUUUGACCUCCCAAGGCACCCAUUUCCUCAUGGAGGUAAUAAUAGUAUCUAUAACCUCAGUUUACCACACGGAUGAAAAGACAAUGCAUGUAAGGGUUCCUCCGCGGCACCUGGCUCAGUGAGCAAUCUGUAAUUGUGAGCUGUUGUCAUUAAGAGGCCGUGGGAACACUAGUCGGUGGUGUGUAUAUCCAGGGGUGGGUGUUGCUUCUGGCAUCUCUCCUAAAUUCAAGCUGAUGAUGAAAGUCAUCAGAGAGACAGAACAAAAUACCCCACAAGCUAUGACAAAAGGAACCUGUAUUUCAUAAAUCAGAGAAGAGUAAAGGACAGAGACCAAAGCCAAUAACUAGUGUUUAAACAUGCAGAGAGAAAGAGAGACAGAGAGAGAGAUGUUUCCUCUGCCUUCCACUACCAUGGGCAGGUGGGAAAUACCACCGACCCUGGGGACCCUGGGAUGGUCCCUGAGUGGGCCGUGUGCCAGGAGCCUGGCCAGAGAGCCAAGAGUGGUCAUGGCCCCCUGGGAGUUCUACUCUUUUCUAGGCAGCAGCAGUGACUGAGACCUUGUACACAAAACUCAUUCAUUCAAUCAGUAUUUAUCUAGGACUUCCAGAAACAGUGCUAAGCUGUGCUGGAGAGUGAUAGUAAAAAAGACACAGUCCCUACCAGCGAGAGACAUUGGGUCCAGCUGAUGAGUAAGACAAGCCAACAGAGUAGGGCAACAAGACCAGGAUCCCUUCGGGGCAUUACUGAGCACACGGCCUCGGUCUGGAAUUCUGGACACAUUCUUCACCUUAACUGGGGGUGCAUUGGGGAUUUAAAACCCCCAAGAGCCAGGGAUCUUUCCCACCCAAGCUAAUUUCUGGGCAGCUGUGCCACUGCAGGGCAUGCAGAAGGAAGAGAGCCUUCCAGAGGAAAGUCGCCUUGUUCCUUGCUUUGUGACCCUCAUCUCUGCGAGGUAGAGAAGAAAAGGAGGGCUCUUCCAUCGGGAGCUUCCAAGGUUCCGGGUGAGAGCUAGCCAGCUCUGCAUUUGGAGCAGAGAGAGACAGGAAUUUGGGACACUAGGUCACAAGUUGGUCUCUUCCUUUGUCAGCAGUCCAUUCAACAUGGCAAUGCCCACACCCACCUCACAAGGCAUGGAUGACACAAAGAGAUGGCUUGCCUGCAAGAGACCCAGCUGGUCUGGAGUUGGAGGCACACUUCAUUUCUCUGCCCAGCUCGGCAGGCGGCUGGAGCAAACCAGGAGAUCGCCUCAAAUGUUUUAAAUGUCAAUAUGGUCCCUUCUUGCUGGCUUGCCAAGAUUUGACCAGCUAAAUUGGCCUGUGUGGUGUGUUCCCUGCAGUGCACGGAACGUACUGGCUGUGAGCAGCCCUGGGCCAGGGCAGAGGUGAACUUGACAAUCAUGUGGACGCUGGCUUUUGAUUACUGCUUCUUCUGGGCUCACGCUACCCAGGGCUCUCUUUAGACCAUCUCUAGGUGAACUUUCUGCCCCAGGAAUGAUCACCUCCAUUUUACUGGUGAGAGGUUCAAGGACUUCCCUUCCUUCUUUCCUCCCUUCCCCUUCUCUCCACUUCCUUCUCCUUCCCUCCUACAUCAUUUUUCCCUUUCCUUUCUUCCUCCCUUCCUUUAGCAAAUAGCCCUGGAGCAGCUGACCGGUUCUAGGAGCUGAGAACAGGGUGAUGGGUAAGAGGGACAAGGGCUUGCUCUCACGGUGUUUACAUUCUAGUGGGGGCAGGAGACAAGUCAACAGAUCAAUAAUUUCAGAUAAGAACAGCUGCUCUAAGAAGAACAACUGGGGAGUGAGAUGCAGUCCACUUUAGGCCGGUGGUUGGGGACGGCUUCUCUUGAGAGGUGGCAUUUAGGGGACUAAAUGGUAACAAUGAGCUGGCCUUGGGCAGGUCUGGGGGCAGAGCCAUCAGUGCCAGGGCACAGAGCUAGGAAAUGCAGAGCAGCUGGUACCCACGACUGGUCUUGCCUGAACCCCUAAUCCUUGCUCUUUCUGCCACAUCCUGCUUUCCCACUUGGCCAAAGAAUUGUGGUUGGCCAAAGGUGGGGCUAAGCUGUGCAGUGGGAGGGGCCAGGCUGAGCUGGAGGUGGCCAGGAGCCUCCUGGUACAGGGCCCUGGUGCCAGUGUCCUCACCCUCCCAGAAUCCUGUUCAUUUGUGUUGAGGACAUGGGGUGAAGGAUCUGAAAAUGCAUGCGCAGGCAGACGACCCACCCAGGCCAUUCACAGCCGCAGCAGUUUGGGACUCUCCGCUUGGCCCAGGUAGGGAGGCACUUGCGGUCCUUCCCAGGCCUGCCGUGAGGCUCCAGGGCCAGCGCCUAUCCCCAGCCCCAAGGAGGCACUCCGAAGAACCUAUUUUAAAUCUCAGCUCAGCAUUUUUGGCCAACUUACAGAGAAGCUGCAAGAUGAGUAAAGGAACUUGCCUAUAUUUUUUAUCUAGAUUUACCAGUUGUUGACAUUUGCCCAUCUGCUUUGUCAUUGGUGCUCUCUCUAUUCUGUGUGUGUGUGUGUGUGUGUGUGUGUGUGUGUGUGUGUGUGU
RNAcentral lists this long non-coding RNA (5223 nucleotides) under Homo sapiens (human). RNAcentral describes it as "HSALNT0392025". The record is from RNAcentral. Lineage: Eukaryota; Metazoa; Chordata; Mammalia; Primates; Hominidae.